Molecule: ribosomal RNA, 301 nt
Filed under: uncultured bacterium
Lineage: Bacteria
Description: partial 16S ribosomal RNA
Rfam family: Bacterial small subunit ribosomal RNA
Source: RNAcentral
CAGCAGCCGCGGUAAAACGGAGGGUGCAAGCGUUAAUCGGAAUUACUGGGCGUAAAGCGCACGCAGGCGGUCUGACAAGUCAGAUGUGAAAUCCCCGGGCUUAACCUGGGAACUGCAUUUGAAACUGUCACGCUGGAGUCUUGUAGAGGGGGGUAGAAUUCCAGGUGUAGCGGUGAAAUGCGUAGAGAUCUGGAGGAAUACCGGUGGCGAAGGCGGCCCCCUGGACAAAGACUGACGCUCAGGUGCGAAAGCGUGGGGAGCAAACAGGAUUAGAUACCCCGAGUCCCUGUCUCUUAUACAC